Molecule: long non-coding RNA, 150 nt
Organism: Neomonachus schauinslandi (Hawaiian monk seal)
Lineage: Eukaryota; Metazoa; Chordata; Mammalia; Carnivora; Phocidae
Exons: 3
Source: RefSeq, a predicted model, not a curated record
AAAGAUCACGUGCAAAAGCUUGAAGUUGAAAAUGCCAAGUUAAAAGUUACAGUCAAAAAACAAGCGCGCAAAAUUGAACAACUUCAGGAAAACCUGUUAAGUACAAGUUCGUCUGAUGAAGAAAAGGGACAGAUAAAGAAAUUUAUUGAG